AUAGAGACUCAGAGCUGCAUAUCAAUAAGCGGAGGAAAAGAAACUAACUAGGAUUCCCUUAGUAACGGCGAGUGAAGCGGGAAGAGCUCAAAUUUGAAAUCUUCAAGGUUCUACCUUGACGAAUUGUAGUUUAUAAGAAGUGUUUUCUGUUAGUGGAGUUGGCUAAAAGUUCUUUGGAAUAGGACAUCAUAGAGGGUGAGAAUCCCGUAUUUGACCAUUACUUUCCAGCUGUGUGAUACACUUUCAAAGAGUCGGAUUGUUUGGGAAUGCAGUCCAAAAUGGGUGGUAAAUUUCAUCUAAAGCUAAAUAUUGGCGAGAGACCGAUAGCGAACAAGUACCGUGAGGGAAAGAUGAAAAGAACUUUGAAAAGAGAGUUAAACAGUACGUGAAAUUGUCAAAAGGGAAGCGUUUGACACCAGUGUUGUUUUUCCGAAAAUCAAUUACGAAUGUUUUAUUUUUGAGAAGUUAUGACUUCAUCGGCUUGCUUCUCUCUUUAUGAAACUUUCUUAAUGCACUUUUCGGUUAACAAGUCAACAUCAAUUUCUUUUGUUGUAAAAGGGUAUGAGGAAGGUGGCUUCAGCUUUCGGUAGAAGUGUUUAUAGCCUUUUACCUCUGCAGUCGGAGAGAUUGAGGUCUGCAGCGUAGAUCCUUCGGGGUUAGAUACAUUUGUGCUAAGUUAUAGCUUUUCAUAGACAACUUGUUGACUAUGUUAAGUCUUGUAGCUUACUCGCUUAUGCUAUUUUACCUACGCUUAGGAUGUUGAUAGUCACAGCGUGUAC
This 779-nucleotide ribosomal RNA is filed under the name uncultured Neocallimastigales. Its description in RNAcentral is "partial large subunit ribosomal RNA". It matches the Rfam family "Eukaryotic large subunit ribosomal RNA", at positions 23 to 644 of the family's 3401-position model. The record is from RNAcentral. Lineage: Eukaryota; Fungi; Neocallimastigomycota; Neocallimastigomycetes; Neocallimastigales.